UAGGGAAUCUUCGGCAAUGGACGAAAGUCUGACCGAGCAACGCCGCGUGAGUGAAGAAGGUUUUCGGAUCGUAAAACUCUGUUGUUAGAGAAGAACAAGGACGUUAGUAACUGAACGUCCCCUGACGGUAUCUAACCAGAAAGCCACGGCUAACUACGUGCCAGCAGCCGCGGUAAUACGUAGGUGGCAAGCGUUGUCCGGAUUUAUUGGGCGUAAAGCGAGCGCAGGCGGUUACUUAAGUCUGAUGUGAAAGCCCCCGGCUCAACCGGGGAGGGUCAUUGGAAACUGGGAGACUUGAGUGCAGAAGAGGAGAGUGGAAUUCCAUGUGUAGCGGUGAAAUGCGUAGAUAUAUGGAGGAACACCAGUGGCGAAGGCGGCUCACUGGUCUGUAACUGACGCUGAGGCUCGAAAGCGUGGGGAGCAAACAGG
RNAcentral lists this ribosomal RNA (429 nucleotides) under Gemmatimonadota bacterium. RNAcentral describes it as "Gemmatimonadetes bacterium partial 16S ribosomal RNA". It matches the Rfam family "Bacterial small subunit ribosomal RNA", at positions 355 to 776 of the family's 1533-position model. Lineage: Bacteria; Pseudomonadati; Gemmatimonadota. The record is from RNAcentral.